This is a long non-coding RNA of Ostrea edulis (European flat oyster), 10828 nucleotides long. RefSeq lists it as uncharacterized. Lineage: Eukaryota; Metazoa; Mollusca; Bivalvia; Ostreida; Ostreidae. The record is from RefSeq and is a predicted model, not a curated record. The transcript is spliced from 2 exons.
AAAAUAAUUUGUAACUUUCGUUUUUCUGUGUGUAGUGUCUGUAAGCGUGAGGAUGAUAGGUAUGAGAGGACAACAAGUUCAGCAAAGAGAGGACCAUUCUGUACUCAGCAAAGAUGUAUGGGUGAAGUUUGAGUCUGGUAAAGACAAGGGGAGAGAAAUAUGCUCGAAAAGAGGAUUUUACACAAAUUCGCCUGUGACCUUGAUCUAGAAAAUUGGUUCAUAGUCACUGCUCAUCACCCACCCAUGGACACUCUAUGGGUGAGGUUUGAGCCCGACUGUGACAAGGGUAGAAAAAAUAUGCUCCAGACAAAGAUCUUACACAGGUAGGUUUACUACAGUGACCUUUGAUCUAGGAAAUUGGAUCAAGGUCACUUCACCCCUCCACCCAUGGGCAAUCUAUGGGUAAAGCUUUGCCCAGACUUGGUCAAGGGAAAGGAAUAUUGUUUAAGUCAAAUGAAAUCGAAUGGACGGUUGGGGGGGGGGGGGCGGACAGUCAAAUCAUCGUAGACAAUUACUCAAAUCCACAAAACAUCUAAGUGACGUCAUCGUCAAAUUUUAAGGUUCAAAUAAUUUUCUAUCAUUUUUGAAAGCUUCAAGAAAUUCGACCGAGCCCUUGAAAAUAUUGUUUUUUGCAAAGUACGUUAAUAUGGUCGAUAUCAACGCACUUUAAUUUUUGUUUUCAAAGCGCGUUGACUAUGUCACAAAUUUAAUGCACUUUGAAUUUGAAUGGCAUGUCAAACGUGGCAAUAGUUGAUCUUUUCCAAUUGUAUUGUAUAAUUUUCCAUUUGUGUUCUAUAUUUUCCAUUUGCAUUGUAUAAUUUUUCAUUUUCAUUGUAUAAUUUCCAUGUGUAUUGUAUAUUUUUCCAUUUGUAUUCUAUAUUUUCCAUUUGUAUUCUAUAAUUUUUUCGUUUGCAUUGUAUAAUUAUGUUCCCCAAACAAAGUUUGGGAAAUGAAAACGAUGUUACGAUAAGUUUGCCUCAGGGGUCCAUAUUGGAUCCAUUGUUCUUCGUUUUAUUUGUUAACGAUUAUCCUAAAUGCGUAAAGCACUCAAAUGUAUCUAUAUAUGCAUAUGAUACAUCUCAGGAUGUUUCACAUGAAUCUAUUGAUGUUAUUGAGCAAAGGUUGCAUGAACUUUAAACUCUAUGAAAUGGAUGGAAAGUAAUAAACUUACGAUGAAUUUAAAGAAAACACAAUGUAUGUUGAUUGGCACUGCACAAAAACUCUCAAAGUGUAGAAAAUGUGUAUCAAAGUAGGAGAUAUUGUUUUAGAUACUGUUAAAACGGCCAAACUUCUUGGUGUAUAAAUAGAUGAAUGUCUAAUUUGGUCUGUACACAUUGAUUCUUUAUGCAAGAAAUUUUCACAGAAAAUAGGCAUUUUACGUCGUCUGCAAACUUUUAUGUCAAAUGCAGCAUUAUUGAAAAUUCAUAACACUGUUAUAUUUACUCAUUUUAAUUAUUGUUGCAUAGUUUGGUGCUCUGCCAAAAACAGGGUUUUUAUUGACAGACUUUUUAAAUUACAGAAAAGGGCAGCCAGAAUCAUAUUGAAUGUGAAAGUAACUCAGACUUCUACGGUUGAUAUUUUUAAUGUUCUUAAAUGGUUGCCUGUUCAUGAUUAUUUUAGUGCUUGCUUUUAAGGUUCUUAAAAAUAUGUCACCAGAAUACUAGUAUAUGAACGUUUUUAGCUUUGUCAGCCAAGUUAGUUCCAGAACAACAAGAAGUAGCGAUACUGGCAUUUUGUAUUAACCAAAAGUUCGAACUGAAUAUUAUAAACGGUCUUUUAAGGUAUCCUCCACCAUUUUAUGGAAUCAGUUGCCCGCGUCUGUCAGAAGCUGUGGUUCUAUUACAUCUUUUAAAUCGGCACAUUUGCAACACUAUUACUCAAAUACGUGAUAUAUAGAUAUAUAUAUGUUUAUUUUUCCAAGUGAUAUCGUGUGUAUAUUUUAUGUAUAUACUUUAUAUUAUGUUAUCUAUUUUUCUAUUCUCUCAUUUAUCUGUCUGUGAAUAUGUUUUAUACCGGACCACAAUGUAAAAUAGUCAUUUGUACUAAUUGUGCUAUCCUGUCUAAGUAAAGAAUUUAUUAUUAUCAUUAUAACACACUUUGAAUGAAAGUGUAACACACAACAACGUCCACACUGUUUUCAUUUUCUUAUCAAUACAAUGAAUACAUGUAUGAUGUAUGAUAAUGUGACAUAUCAACAGAGGUAGAUUCAUUUCAUGCACAGUCAACAGUUGAUAUUGUCAAUUUGUUUUCAGUCUAUUUCAUACAUACAUUGUACUCGGUCCGAUGAAAAAACAACCAAAAACAAAACACGGAACAGAAAACGAAACAGAACAAAAAACAGAUCGGAAUAUUCAAAAUAUAUAAAUCAUUUAUCAAAGACAAAAUAUGGUAUACACAUGGGCAAGCAAACUGGCACACACAAAACAAAAUAGACAGAUUUGUAGCUUAUUAGAUUUAUUGGCGGUAAUGAUCACGGCUGUUCAUAACUAGUGCAAGAAGAAAAACCAUAACCCAAAGUGAACCCUGGGACCAGAUGUACACCCGGGAAAAAAUAAGAUAAUGUUUAUUUAUAUUUGUAAUAUAAAUUAAAUGAAUGAAAAAUCCAGGUGAGCUCUACUGGCAAGCUGAAUCUCCGCCACUAGACUAUGCAGCCACUGCAUAGACUGCGCCACCAGUAGAGCCGACCCUCCCCAAGCAGUGGUAGUCAUAGACAAAAAGAUAAACCCUCAUAAUAGGUUGGAACUAUCAUCUCCAAACACACACAAAGAAUAAUAGUAAAACUGUAGAAUCGUCUAAAAGUUCAUCUUUCUGUAAGCACCCCAGGUAAAACAGUAAUAAGGAACUAUAGUGUCAUUGCCUCACGUGGAUGGCCCUAAGCAAAACAAGAUAAGUUAACACCAGAACGACAGCAAGUAUGAGCUGAUUACAUGCACCGUGUAAAUACAACGAGCCAGCAACGAUUUGUUUAAAUGGGUAUCCCUAAUAAAAGUGAUCACGUCAUCAUUCAGUGAACACUACACAUAAGGAUUUAAUGCGCAAUAUGCUACAAAGGGAGCCAGCAAUAAUUUUGCUUAAUUGGGCAUCCCUAAACAAAAUAUGAUCACAUUGUAAUCAGUUAACACUGAAAAAAACCCAACAAUUUAAUAUUUUGUCACAAGGAAUACUCAUGUGAAAUAUCAACGCUCUAGCUCUUACUGUUCAAACGUUAUUGACAAGGUUAAAGUAGGUCAAACUCCAAAGUCGAGGUCACAGGGUCAAAAAUGUUGGUACCCACGGAAAGGUGUUGUCCUAAGGAAUACUGUGAACAAGAGAUGUUUGUAAAACACACAUGCCCCCCAUGGUGCAAAAUUGAAAAGGGGUAUACACCACACAUCAUUUAAUUGAUAGUAGUGUCAUCAAUUCAAAAUAUUGAGCAGACAAUAUCUUCCUAUGUCAAGAGUAGAUUAACCAUGUGACCUAAAAUCAAUAGGGGUCAUCUACUCCUUAUGCUGUACCAGUGUGCCAAGUUUGGUGUCAAUCAAGCAAAUAAUUCUUAAAUUAUAGGAGACAAUAUAUUACUAUGUCCAAUUCAACUAUUGACCUUUGACCUCAAAAUCAAUAUGGGUCAUCUUCUCCUGAAGAUGUACCAGUGUACUAAGUUUGAUGUCUGUCAAGCAAAGGGUUAUCAAGAUAUUGAGUGGACAGUAUAUUACUAUGUCCAGUUUGACCCUUGACCACAAAAUCAACAGGAGUCAUCUUCUCCUGAAUAUACACCAGUGUACUAAGUUUGAUGUCUGUCAAGCAAAGGGUUCUCAAGAUAUUGAAUGGACAGUAUAUUCCUAUAUCCAGUUUGACCCUUGACCUUUGACCAUGUGAUCUCAAAAUCAAUAGGGGUUAUUUUCUCCUGAAGAUAUACCAGUGUAUCAAGUUUGAUGUCUGUCAAGCAAAGGGUUCUCAAGAUAUUGAAUGGACAGUAUAUUCCUAUAUCCAGUUUGACCCUUGACCUUUGACCAUGUGAUCUCAAAAUCAAUAGGGGUUAUUUUCUCCUGAAGACGUAUCAGUGUACCAAGUUUGAUAUCUGUCAAGAAAAGGGUUCUCAAGAUAAUGAGCGGAAAGUAUAUUGCUAUGUCCAGUUUGACCCUUGACCUUUAACCAUGUGACCUCAAAAUCAAUAGGGUCAUCUUCUCCUGAAGACGUAUCAGUGUACCAAGUUUGAUGUCUGUCAAGCAAAAGGUUCUCAAGAUAUUGAGCAGACAGUAUAUUCCUAUGUCUAGUUUGACCCUUGACCAGGUGACCUCAAAAUCAAUAGGAGUCCUCUUCUACUGAAGAUAUACCAGUGUACUAAGUUUGAUGUCUGUCAAGCAAAGGGUUCUCAAGAUAUUGAUACAUGAAAAACAAUAGGGGUCCUCUUUUACUCGUAACCAACCCAAUUAUGAAAUAUCGUAAUCAUCAAGUGAAUGGUUCUCAAGAUAUUGAGCGGACAACAUGUGGUCUACCGACCGACAGGUGCAAACCAAUAUGUCUCUCUUCUUUGAAGCUCAAAAGAAGAGUGCUAUCAAAGCUCUAGCACUUACUGUUCAAAAGUUAUUAGCAAGGUUAAAGUUUCAGACAGAAUGACAAAAACAAUACCCCCCCCCCCUCCGGUCUUCGAUCUCGGGGGCAUAAAAAGGGAGUCAGCAACAAUUUUGCUUAAGAGGCUGUCUACGAUAGAACCAUGCAAAAUCAAAAAAUUAUCAUGGAAGGUGGUGUCAAAUUUUCAGAGCUUUUUAUGAUAUUUCAAAAGUAUUUUACUAGUUAUAUCAUAUUUUGUGGCAAAAUCGAUUAGUACCCCCGAACUAACACAUAAUGGGCCGUUCUAUUUUUAGCACAAUAUACACAUCAAUUUCAUGCAUAAAUGGGGUAAUUUCAGCAAAUCAUUAAAAUAUCAAAAGCAGAUUAAUCACAUAUAAUUUCAGUACCGCAUAGUCUAUUCGAACGGUAUCUUUGAAUUGGUGAACAUAACUUUAAAAUUCAUUCUCCAGAUUUAAGUCGUAUAUUGUUUGAACUAGUAAGAUUAUGUAACUUUCAAAUUAAAUGCUAUUUUUAGUGAGUCAUAAAACCCCAAGAAACGCUUAAAAUAAACAGUUUUGUGGUUUAAAACACAGAAUUAUGCAUAAAUUAUCACUAGUAAACGGGAAUUUGGUUGCAAAUAAAUAGAAAGUCAUUUAUUUGGGGUAUAAAAUUCGGAAAUUUUAUCAAAAAUUUUUCUCCCUUUGUGGAACUAUCAUGGGAAGAAGUUAAGGAAGAAUGAUUCAUAAGGCAGAUGACAACAACAUGGAAUGGGUGGAAAGUGAUGGAAGAUAAAUUUAUAGCCUUGGUGAAAAUUUCAAGGAAAGAGGGAGUUUAUUUACAUCAGGAUUGCAAGAAGUAUACUUCAGCACACUUGAUAUUUUUAAAUGUCCAUCAGAAAUUGUGUGAAUUCCAGAAUCAUUGUUCACUGCACUGCACUGCACAGCUGGUGUGCAUUAACUAUGAUCUAGACUUAACAGACAUAAUCAUGCCUAUGCCAAUCAUGGACAUUAACUUUGAAUAAAGAACAACAUGUUGUCACCCAUUACAUGACAAACCUAACUCAGAUGUGAAAGGGGGGUGACUCCGUGACUCCAAAGCUUAUAAAUCUGCCACAUUGCUCAAGUUGACAACACAUGUUCCAUUGAUUCUGGUAAGUUCUUUUUUUUUUUAUAUCUUCCUGCACUAACAGAUAUUGAAAUAUGCACUUAUGCAUAAAUACUCAUGAGUGAAAUUUUUAAAAUUUUACUUCUAUUUGGAUUUUUUAAGAUAUCAAUUUGCUCAAUACACAAUUUUCUAGAUUAAAAUACUGUUACAAUAUAUUUAGGAAAUAUAAUGAAAUAUAUGUGUUUGGUGUUUGCAGACAAGACAAUGCAUUGAGAAACACAAAAGUUGUGUCCAGAUUAAGACAGAUGUAAAGAAAGAGUUGAAAGGUAUGAUGCUUUACAAAUGUCUGAAUAAAAUCUAAUAGGAAUUUAAGUGACACCUUCUAGGUUAACAACUAACAUAUAAGUUGAUAGAAUUAUGGAUGGAAACUGAAUUAAGUCAAACAAAUAAAGUACAAAUUCAGGUCCAGGAUUUUUCUGGAGAAUGUAAAAGCAAUUUAUAUUGUAGUUUUCAGACAUUUUUUAACUUUUAAAGAGAAUGAUAAUAGAAAUGAUUGAAGGGAGAGGGUGUGCAUUAAUAAUGUAACUGUAGUUUAACUACAUUUUUUUUUAUUCUAUAAACAGAUAAUUUAUUUAGCAGUGCAUAUUGGAAUCAAGAUAAUUUUAUAAAUCAAUUUCGAAAUAAAAUCAAAUGACUAAAUAUUUAUGUAUGAGUCUAUGGAGAUAUUUGUGAGAUCUGUGAUUAAUGAAUUGAAAAUCAGAAAGAAGUAAGAUUUUAUUAAUGAUUCUGUUAUUAACAUUGUAUCAUGUUUAUUGCACACUUAAUAAUAAAUGCAGGUUUAGGUAAUGUGGAAUGCUUCUAAUCACUUUGAAACUUUCCUGAGAUUUCGAUAAAUAAAAUUUUGGUUUAUGUAAGACAACAAAUUCACAUUAUAAAUGUAGCAUAUACCAUACCAUAUACCUAUUGUAGUAUUGUAUAAAUAUCUCUGCAGACAAAUAAUUUUUUUUAAGUAUUUAAUAUAUUUGUUUUAAUUAAAACCCUGCCUAUAGUCAAGAGCCCUACAGUGAACAGGCCAAAUUAAAGAAUAUGUGUGGUUCCGGUUACCCGACCGUCCCUAGUUUUUACCCCCGACCCUAAACUUUUUUUGACCAUUUCCAAAAUCAGUUACCGUAUUUUGCCGAAUAUAAUGCACACCUUUUUCAAGAUUGCAUAGUAUAUACCACAAUAUAGAUACCACUAAAAUGCUAAACUGUAAACACUUAUUACAGGUCAUCUAACAUUAGACAGAAAGUGACUUAGAACUAGAGAGUGCUUACAUAAACAAUAGUGCAAAUUUCAGGUUGCUUGAAUAUACUAAGCGAUCUGCAUCACCCUCCUUAUUUUUGAAAAAGUUGAAUAGAUUUAAAAACUUGGAAGGGCUUGAAAACAGUAUUCUAGUUGAAAUAUCAUUUCCUACUUUCAUGUUCAAAAACAUAAUUUUGGCAUUUUUUCCCCUGCAUUUAUUUUUUUUAUUUAAAAUAAAUAUAUAAGAAUUGUCAAAACUAGGGUGAUCCCUACCAAUUUUGAUAGGUAUAUACAUGUAUAUCACACCAUAUAUAAAUGGUAAAUGCAAAGAAGUGAAAGUAAAAGAAAAUUGUGUUUCCAUCUAAAAUCUAUCAUUAGAAAAGUAACUUUAAAAAAAUGAUGUCAAAACUUCAGCUUUUUAUGAAAAAGAAUGGAUACCCCUCUGCUAUGAGCAGAAUCAGUAUAAGAGAGUAUGGAUGUACCAAACCAUCUUGAGUCAUACUUAAAAUUAUUUUUUUCGCAAAAAUGUGUUUCUUGUAGAAAAAUCACAUCAAUAUUGUUAUCAUUAAACCAUUGAUAUAAUGUAUUUCUUUUCUCAUAACCAUUUAAACCCCUUACAUUCAGGGUAAUACACUUCAAAUGUUCCAUAGCGAAAAUAGAAGACAAAAAAUCGUGUCAGGUAUAAACAAACAUGAGAGACUUUUAUAAUAAUUAUUUGACUGAAGCCGGGCGAGGUAACCCAGAUUUGGAUUUGUUUUUCAAUUUUUUUCUUAACUUCUGUGGCUACCCGUCCAAGUAUCUGUCCUAGUACAUUUUUUCCAGGCCAGGUUGAGGUUUUUGUGUGCAUGGAUUGAUCAUAGUUGAGGCCUGUAGCCCAAAAAUCAUUGUAUGUGGUUUCUGCGAAAAUGACAUUAUUGGUAGAGUUUUCAAGAACAUCUCGGAAAUUCUCAACUUGUUCCGAUUUUUUUCGAAAUAAUCUCCUCCAUGAUCUGAACCCGUGAUGAAAUCCAACUAUCCGAUGUAGUGACAUGAAAAGCUUAAUUUUGACAUCAUAAAUAUACACAGAUCUGUUGAUGGUCGUAAACUUUUGAUUAAUAUUAAAGUCAAUGGUCUAAUUAUCACACUUGUAAAUGUUUAUGCACCCAAUGAUGAUAACAGUAGAAUAGAAUUUUUCAAAAAAUUAAAAACGUGGAUUUUUAAGCUAGCAAUGAGUGAAAACAAUACUAUACUUGCAGGAGAUUUUAAUACGAUUCUUAAUAAACAGGAAAUAGAAAAAAUUGAACUGUCACCGCAUCAUUUAAUAGAUAUGAAUAGAAAAAAAUCUCUUGAAGUCGAAUUAGAUGAAAUCUAUUCGAAAACAACUAAAGGUGCAUUUAUUAGAUCAAAAGCAAAUUGGAUAGAAAAUGGAGAACGGAACACAUCCUACUUUUUAAGACUAGAAAGAAAAAAAAACAAUCUGCCAAUACAAUACACGAAAUUAAAGAAGAUAAUAAAAUGAUAAAUAAAACUGAAGAUAUAAUGAAUUCACUUUGCAAUUUUUAUGAAAACUUGUAUUCAACAAAUCAUGUCCCAGAUGAAAAUAUAAAAAAAUAUUUUGAGGAUUGUGAAUGUCCUCAACUAACCAAUCAAGAAAAAGAUAUAUGUGCUAAUCUUCCAACGGUUUCCGAAUGUGCACAAGCUAUAAAACAGAUGAAAAACAACAAAUCCCCCGGAUCUGUCGAAUUCUAUAAAAUAUUUUGGAAUGACAUUAAAAAUUACUUUUAUAAAUCACUAAUUACAACAUUUGAAAAAGAGGAAAUGACUUUUUCUAAAAAAUUAUCAAUUAUUUCUCUGAUACAUAAAAAGGGAGAGAAAAAUGAUCUUCGAAAUUAUAGACCAAUUAGUCUUACAAAUUGUGAUUAUAAAAUUUUAGCACAAAUUUUCGCUAUAAGAUUACAAAAAGUUAUAGAUAAACUAAUAAGUAAAGACCAAUCCGCAUACAUUAAAGGUAGAUAUAUCGGUGAAAAUGCAAGACUUUUACUUGAUAUAUUUGAAUACUGUGAAACAAAACAAAAAGAAGGAGCAAUUUUACUUCUUGAUUUUCAAAAAGCUUUCGAUUCUGUAGAAUGGAACUUCAUGUUCAACACCCUUAAUAAAUUUAAUUUUGGAGAGCAAUUCAUAAAAUGUAUAAAUUUUUUAUAUACAAAUUCUGUAUAUCGCAUAAAAAAUAAUGGAUGGAUGUCUAGGACCUGCAAAAUGACCAAAGGCAUUCGACAAGGAUGUCCAAUCUCAGCAUUGCUUUUUUUUAUUUAUCGUAGAAAUAAUGUCGAAAAAAAUUCACAAUUCACCUGAAGUUAAAGGCUUUAGUAAUGACCUUAUGACUAAUGAAAUAAAAAUACUUCAACAUGCAGACGACACAUCACUUUUUUUUUUUUUUUUUUUUAUACAGGAUAUCAGAUCUAUUGACCUUCAUUAAAAUAAUUGAACAAUUUGGUCAGGUAUCAGGAAUGCAACUCAAUAAAAAUAUAUCUGAAGGAAUACUAUUAGGUCCUUUGAAAAACAGAUAUGAUAAAUUAUAUGAUAUCAAUAUCACCAAUGCACCUGUUAAAUGCUUAGGGAUAAAUAUAUAGGUCAUGAUGCUAAUCAAUGUUACAAUAAAAACUGGACGGAAAAAAUUAAUAAACUAGAAAAAAGACUUACAAUGUGGAAUACAAGAAAAUUAACCUUAUAUGGAAAAUGUACCGUAAUAAAUACUUUAGCAUUAACACAAUUAUACUAUAGUGCAACUAUAUUGCAAUAUCCAAGAAAAGAAUCCUUAAAAAAAAUAAAGAAAACAAUCUUCAAUUUCCUAUGGGGCAAAAGAGAAAGGAUAAAAAGAUAUACUUUAAUUGGAAAACAAGAUGAAGGAGGAAUAGGUAUUGUUGAUAUUGAUUGUAAAUUAAAAGCACUCAAGGCUGCUUGGGUAACAAGAAUUUUCAAUGAAAAACAAUCAUCUUUAAAAUCUUUCUUUAAUUCGUGUAUUCUUAAAAGAUUCGUUACACCCGAAUAUCUCAUAAUGAAAAAUACAACCAGUACUGAUGAAAUAACGCAAAUUUUCAAAUCAUUACCAAUAUUUUACUGCGAAGUACUCAGUACAUUGAAUGAAUGAAAACAUAAAUCACAUAAAAUAAAAGAGAUGACUGACGUUGAAGUAUUGUCGCAAACUAUAUGGUUAAACAAUUUGACUCGAUUUAAUGGUAAACUUCUUUUUUACACAGAUUGGAUAAAAAGUGGAAUUUUAUACAUUAAAGACCUGUUUGAUGAAAACGGAAAUUUUCAUGAUAUCAAUUAUUUUUCUAAUAUUCUUGUCAACAAGUAUAACUGGAUUUGCGAAUAUAACACACUGGAAAAGGUUAUUAAACCUGUCCAAAAAUAUCACGAUACUUCAAAAGGAGUCUAUAUAAAUAUAAGAAAACAAAGUAACAUUUUAUUAGAAAACAAGAGAAGAAUACCCCUAAACUUGAUAAAUAGCAAAACGAUAUAUGAUAUAUUUAUCAAUAAAAUCUUUAUUAAACCCUACUGUGAGAGAUUUUGGGCAAAAAGCUUCAAUUUAAAUUUUGAAGAAAACAAAACAAAUAUUUAUCAGUCAAAAAUCACUAAAAUCAAAGACAAGCAAUUAGCAGAAUUUAAUUACAAACUCUUACAAAAUCUACUUAAUAAUAAUAAAUCUGUUCACAAAUGAAAUAAGAAUGUAUCCAAUCAAUGCCCGUAUUGCCAAACACUCGAAGACACAAAACAUUUAAUAUUUGAGUGUAGAAACGUACAAUUAAUAUGGAAGAAAUUAGAAAAUCAUUUGAAAUUUAAUUUGAAAUGGAAACAUGUUGCAUUAGGAUUUUUUCAUGAAGAAAAUAAAACUACCACUUUAAUAAAUCAUUUAUUAUCAUAUACAGCU